Molecule: long non-coding RNA, 1280 nt
Organism: Diceros bicornis minor
Lineage: Eukaryota; Metazoa; Chordata; Mammalia; Perissodactyla; Rhinocerotidae
Exons: 2
Source: RefSeq, a predicted model, not a curated record
AGGCUGCCCCAGGCGGUGGGAGCCCAACCUCUGGCUCAGGCUAUUGGGCUCCUCAUUGCCUUCAUUAAACAAAUAAACGUUCCUACUUCCUUGGGACCACUUUUAUAGAAAAGCCUAAUGGCAUUAAUGGUUUCUGGUAAUUGACUCUAUAUUUGCAAGGCGAACUUUGAAGCCUGUGAAUUGUUGUAAACUGCAUUUAAUGAAAGAAGCUUUAAACAGUCUUUGGUGCAAAUUAUGUAACUUCCUAAUAACUCACCUUCUGUUAACAUAGACUGAUGACUGAUCAAUUGAUGAUUGACAUAAUGUGUACGGAAUUUUGGUUUCAGUCAAAAAGAUUUUCUAGGCAGUUGGUGCUAAAAUUAAAAUCGGAUCAGGAGGAGGUUUUUAGAAGUAGUGUGUAGUGUGUGUUUUGUCUCCGUAGUCAUUUAGAUGUAAGAAUUUAGAUUUGGAAAGCCCAAGGAAAAAGAAUUUUGAAAUUUUGAUUUGACUGACAAGGUGAAAGGUCAAAAGGUCAAAUACGGAAGGAUUUCAUUUAUAUGAUAUUCUAGAAAAGAUAAACCAUAGGGAAAGACAACAGAUUGUUAGUUGUCAUUAGUUUUAAUAUUUAGUUAAUCAUUUAGUUUAAUAGUUUAAUCAUUAGUUUUAAUAUUUCUGAUUUAAAAAAUACAUUUUAAUGAUACUAUCCUAAUUAUGCUUUUGGAUGAUACCAGAAGUUAAUAACCUAUUAAAUUCUGCAGUAGGAAGAAAUGACAUGUUGGUUAUUGGUGUCUUUGAAGUCACACGUGUGGAGGACUCCCUAGAAUGGACACCUGCCUGUGAGUGGAUUGCUGGGCCAGAGGCUGACGUGCAUCUGAAACUUGAUGAGCUGCAGCCAAAUCAUCCUCUGAAGUUUUAACAAUUUCCAUUCCCGCCAACAGUGUCUGAGUCAUCCUUGCCCUGGGAAUUGUCAGGUCAGCAUUGUCAGAUUUUUAAAGUUUUGCCAAUCUGAUGAGUGAGAAAUGAUGUAUUUGUUUUCCUCUUUGUACAACUGUUUUGACAAACUCAUAGAGCUGUGCAACUACCAAAAUUGAGAUACAGAACAGUUCCAGCACCCAGAACUCCCUUCAGCUGCUCUUUUGUAGUCAUCUCUUCCCCCACCCUUAACCCCUGAUGACUAAUGAUUUGUUGUCUUUCCCUAUGGUUUGUCUUUUCUAGAAUAUCAUAUAAAUGGAAUCCUACAGUAUUUGGCCUUUUGAGUCUGGAUUCUUUCAUUUAGCACAAUACAUUGAUUUGAGUGUUCA